AAACAGUGAAUGAAACUUGAAAAACAGAGUGACACAAACUGUGAAAUAAGCCAGAGUGUAACUACAGCAUCGGUUCUCACAAAGAUUUGUCUAGAUAUGAAGAUAGAAACUCUGCUGGAGCUGCUGCAUAUGUCUUACUUGGACAUCUAAUAAGGCUCAGCCAGCAUGAUGUCACCAGUGCACUGGGCCAACCAGCCCUUCUGUGGGGUGGAAAGGUGAGCAAAGAAAAUGAAAAUGUAUUCCACUGUCUUCCAGCUCCCUUUAUUUCCAUCAAGAAAUCUGCUGUCAUAUCCUUUGUUGGUUAUUUUAGUUUUCACUUUCAUUCAGUUUUAAGUACUUUUCUUAAUCUUAUUCUACAGCUGUUAAUACAAUGUUUCUUGGCAGAUUUUUGGGUCAAUGUACUUAGGAUACAUUAUAGUUUCUGACCCUUAGUGAUGCUAUGGACAUUUGGCUUGGAACAGCUCAAUCUCUCCAAUUUCUUUUGUGUUCACUGUUUCAAGGUCUGGAUUUAGCUCAUUUUUUUUUUUUUUUUCAGGGAGAAAGUAAAUCUUCAGAUAUUUUAUUUUAUGAGAAUCCACAAUGCAAUUAAACAUUUAUUAUAUACAGUAUCUAGUUAUAUUUUAGUGGGAGCCCUUCAAAAUGCUGCCCAUUGAAAAUAUUCAGCCCAGAAUAUUUACCAUAAAUUCCAUGUCUGAAAUAACUAUAUUGUUAACAUACUGGAAUGGUAUAAAAUAAUUUUAAAGAUUAUCAAAACACCUGGC
RNAcentral lists this long non-coding RNA (761 nucleotides) under Sus scrofa (pig). RNAcentral describes it as "lncRNA (ENSSSCG00035000327.1)". Lineage: Eukaryota; Metazoa; Chordata; Mammalia; Artiodactyla; Suidae. The record is from RNAcentral.